Long non-coding RNA from Salvia splendens (bonfire salvia), 1425 nucleotides. RefSeq lists it as uncharacterized. The record is from RefSeq and is a predicted model, not a curated record. The transcript has 2 exons. Lineage: Eukaryota; Viridiplantae; Streptophyta; Magnoliopsida; Lamiales; Lamiaceae.
CCAUUUUCACUCAAGCACACAAACGGAGACGACAGAAGCGGCGCCGCUCUCAAGAAUACGCCGUCUCCACCGCAUUUCCCGCAGAAGGUGAAAGAUGAAAACUGCUGAUAAUUCCAAAAUGGGGGAAGAUUUCUUCAAAUAUCUACCGUCAACGGUCAUAACAAAUAUCCUCUCAAGACUCUCCACUCGAGCAGCUAUGGACUGCAAGUGUGUUUGUAAGCCAUGGCUUGGUCUGCUCACUACUCCCGAGUUUGUGAUUUCACAUAUGUCUAGAUCAGUCCCGGGCAUUGCUGUUGAAUAACGCUCACCACACUCGUGCAAAAUCAUUGAAUUUGUGGAUGAGCUUGACCUCAACUUCGAUGAGAAGCAUAGCUCGGAAGCAAUCUUCAACUUUGAUGAGAAGCAUCGUUGGGAAGUUACCUUCAACUUCAGGCUCCCGUUUGAUGGAUAUUUUAUUAGUUCAGCUAAUGGUUUGAUCUUUCUAAGAGACUUUGAAUUUGAUCAUGAUGAUCUUAUCUUGUGGAAUCCAAUCACACGUGAACAUAUCAAGCUCCUUUGUCCUCGACAAACCUCACCAAAAGUUCGGAAUGCCUUGGAUAAUUUUGGAUUUGGAGUGAGCGGAUCGACCGGACAAUAUAAGGUGGUUAGGAUUUUUGCUGAAACACCAAAACGACGAUAGGGUUUCAAAAAUGCUUGCCAAGUAUACACAGUUGGAACCGGAACUUGGAGAAAUGUUCCCUUUGGUAAGCCGCUCAGGUUUUGUGACGACACUAGAGGGGUACAUUUAAAUGGAAAUCUUUAUUGGAUGGUAGCGAAAAGAACAAAAGGCUUUUGUAGAUGGAUUUCUUGCUUUGAUCUUGAAACAGAACUUUUUAGCACCUUCGCUGCACCUCCUCCUCGUGGUAGAGAUUCUCUCUUUGGUAGGUCACUCUGUGUUUUGAGGGAUUGCCUAUGUGUAAGCGACAUUUCACACUAUGGGUGCGACCUUUCAGACAAAGACGAAGGGUGCGUUAUAGUCUGGUCGGUGAAGGAAUAUGACCACAGUUGGACAAAGAUAUUUGUCAUCCCCAAAGUUGAACGACUUUCUGGUAUAGGUCAUAUUUGGCCGAUUAAAUUUUUUGAAAAUGGUGACGCAUUGAUGGAAUGGGACGAUGGCAUGAUAUUCUACUACUCCAACAUGACGGAAAAUGUGUACUUCGAGAUCAAGUCUAUAGAGGGUCAUGAUCCCUCUACGAUCAUGUAUGCCUCGAGCUUUGUCUCUCUCAAGAGUUUUGCGAUGGAGAAUGUAAUUCACUAGCUCAUUUUGAGUUGUGACUUUGUAGUUUCUUUCAUGUCUGAUGGUGAAAUGCAUGAAUGCUGAGGAACAUUAGAGAUUGAACCUCUUUUUCUAAGAUAGUAUUUGUAGUUUCUUGGGUUUUAUUUUGA